CUGAUCGAAAAGGAGGAAGGUUCAACUUAACGGGCGACAAAGUCAGGGGAAGAUGGUGCGAAGCCAUCACGGUGCCGCCACUGUAAGCGGUGAGUGACCCUACCGAUGAGCCACUGUGCGCGUCCCGCGCACGGGAAGGCGUAGGGGAACGACGACCCGCAAGUCAGGAAACCCGCUUGUCGGCCAUCACGAAC
This is a non-coding RNA of Nitrospirae bacterium 13_2_20CM_2_61_4, 194 nucleotides long. The record is from Rfam. Lineage: Bacteria; Pseudomonadati; Nitrospirota.